UCUAACUGAUACUGUUUUGUGUCAGUUGGACUCAAAACAGAGAGAGGAUUUAGGUUUUCAGAGAGGAUUCAUUACCACAGUGAUAUAACACUGAGGAGAGCAAAGAUGUAGAGAACUACAGAGAUGGCGGAGCAGAAUAGAACUGAAGUGACGCCACUUUGACAGAAAACUUAACACGGACAAGAUGGCAGAAGAGCAAAGGAAUCAUUCCCUUGGUUUAACACACCUGAUACAAAUGACGGCCCAUUCUGUGACGACGUCUGGCACGCUGAGGAGACAAGUGGACCAUUUGAAUCAGCUGUGUUGGAGCAGAGACUCAUCUAAAACUGGCAGGACAUCGGCCCUCGAGAAUGGAGUGUGACACACAUGCCCAAGACUAAAAACAGAUCCCUGAUCUGAUGCAGAUACAGUCCAGCAUUUGAAUUCUCCACUUUUUCUUCCACACUGCUCACAAAUGACUAAGACUAAUUUCAGCCAAGCUGAUAUUUGAACAAUGGCGUAAUUUAAGGGACAGAAUGUGUCUAUAAUGUUACCGAAACAUCAGCAGAUCUGCUGAUUACUGUGCUGAAAGCUCACGGUGACCUGGAUACAUGUUUUUUCUUUUUAAGUAAAUGCGUAACUGAUUUUGCUCCUGUGGACAGAUCAUAAUGCCAGAAAUGAUUAGUUGGGUUUAUUGGGCAUCUUUGUCUUAUUUUGAUAUUCUGCCAUCUUUGCAUCUGUAUUAAUGAUACUUCUAAAUAAAACUUUUUCUCACUCA
Long non-coding RNA from Poecilia reticulata (guppy), 757 nucleotides. RefSeq lists it as uncharacterized. NCBI's taxonomy places the organism in Eukaryota, Metazoa, Chordata, Actinopteri, Cyprinodontiformes, Poeciliidae. The record is from RefSeq and is a predicted model, not a curated record.